GUAGGUGGCAAGCGUUGUCCGGGAAUUAUUGGGGCGUAAAGCGCGCGCAGGCGGUUCUUUAAGUCUGAUGUGAAAGCCCACGGGCUCAACCGUGGAGGGUCAUUGGAAACUGGAGAACUUGAGUACAGAAGAGGAAAGCGGAAUUCCACGUGUAGCGGUGAAAUGCGUAGAGAUGUGGAGGGACACCAGUGGCGAAGGCGGCUUUCUGGUCUGUAACUGACGCUGAGGCGCGAAAGCGUGGGGAGCAAACAGGAUUAGAUACCCUGGUAGUCCACGCCGUAAACGAUGAGUGCUAAGUGUUAGGGGGUUUCCGCCCCUUAGUGCUGCAGCUAACGCAUUAAGCACUCCGCCUGGGGAGUACGGCCGCAAAGGCUG
This 375-nucleotide ribosomal RNA is filed under the name uncultured organism. RNAcentral's name for it is "partial 16S ribosomal RNA". It matches the Rfam family "Bacterial small subunit ribosomal RNA", at positions 527 to 896 of the family's 1533-position model. The record is from RNAcentral.